AUUGAACGCUGGCGGCAUGCCUUACACAUGCAAGUCGAACGGUAACGCGGGGCAACCUGGCGACGAGUGGCGAACGGGUGAGUAACGCAUCGGAACGUGCCCAGCAGUGGGGGAUAGCCCGGCGAAAGCCGGAUUAAUACCGCAUCCGACCUACGUGUGAAAGGGGGGGAUCGAAAGACCCCUCGCUAUUGCAGCGGCCGUUGUCAGAUUAGGUAGUUGGUGGGGUAAAGGCCCACCAAGCCUUCGAUCUGUAGCUGGUCUGAGAGGACGAGCAGCCACACUGGGACUGAGACACGGCCCAGGCUCCUACGGGAGGCAGCAGUGGGGAAUUUUGGACAAUGGGCGCAAGCCUGAUCCAGCCAUGCCGCGUGCGGGAAGAAGGCCUUCGGGUUGUAAACCGCUUUUGGCAGGGAAGAAACGCUCUGGGCUAAUACCCCGGGGUAAUGACGGUACCUGAAGAAUAAGCACCGGCUAACUACGUGCCAGCCGCCGCCGUAA
RNAcentral lists this ribosomal RNA (498 nucleotides) under uncultured bacterium. Its description in RNAcentral is "partial 16S ribosomal RNA". It matches the Rfam family "Bacterial small subunit ribosomal RNA", at positions 29 to 523 of the family's 1533-position model. The record is from RNAcentral.